GGGGUCGACGGGACCGGAGGCGCGGUAAGGUGUGGGGGACAGGCGUUAAUCGGAAUGACUGGGCGUAAAGCGUGCGCAGGGGGGUGUGGAAGACCGAUGGGAAAUCCCCGAGCUUAACUUGGGAAUUGCAGUGGUGACUGCACGGCUAGAGUGUGUCAGAGGGGGGUAGAAUGCCACGUGGAGCAGUGAAAUGCGUAGAGAUGUGGAGGAAUACCGAUGGCGAAGGCAGCCCCCUGGGAUAACACUGACGCUCAUGCACGAAAGCGUGGGGAGCAAACAGGAUUAGAUACCCGUGUAGUC
RNAcentral lists this ribosomal RNA (300 nucleotides) under uncultured Cecembia sp. RNAcentral describes it as "bacterial SSU rRNA". It matches the Rfam family "Bacterial small subunit ribosomal RNA", at positions 496 to 795 of the family's 1533-position model. Lineage: Bacteria; Pseudomonadati; Bacteroidota; Cytophagia; Cytophagales; Cyclobacteriaceae. The record is from RNAcentral.